Molecule: transfer RNA, 73 nt
Filed under: Paramuricea clavata
Lineage: Eukaryota; Metazoa; Cnidaria; Anthozoa; Malacalcyonacea; Plexauridae
Rfam family: tRNA
About the family: Transfer RNA (tRNA) molecules are approximately 80 nucleotides in length. Their secondary structure includes four short double-helical elements and three loops (D, anti-codon, and T loops).
Source: Rfam by way of RNAcentral
GCCUCUGUAGCUCAGUUGGUUAGAGCACUGCACCGGAAUCGCAGGGCCGCAGGUUCAGUUCCUGCCAGGGACC